CUAUUUGUAACUUAUUAUUAAUGGUAAUUACAAACAAUUAUCAUGAGUCGUUACAAGGCAUUGGGUUAAGUGCUAUAUACCUAUAAACUCUUUUAACCUUCAUGAUAACCUUAUGAAUUAGGCACUGUCAGAAUUCCCAGUGUACAGAUGGCUCAAAGAGAUUAAGUAACUUGUCCAAAAUCACAGUAAGUGGUGAAGCCAGUAUCUGGUCUACUGAGUAGAGUAUGCCGUCUGCACGUGUGCCGUUGAUUUGUUGAACUGAUGAUGUAACUUUCUUUGGGAAGGUUACAGUACCUGUGUCUCUAGUCCCAUAGAUGAUGCCCUAACCAUUAUGUUUCACUGCCUCUUGUACUCUGUGCCUAACUCUAUUCCUAGUACUUUUAAGUUAAAUGACACAAAUAAUGUGGUAGAAUUUCAUGAACUAAAAUAGUCAUUCAACCAUUUUUCAUUUAUUCUGUACCUGCUAGCACCUAGGUCCGUACUUAGGCUAAAUAUAGUGAUUCUGACGUCAUUGGGAUUGGAGAGACAGACCAGAGGCCAAGAUUUGAGCACCCAGGCAUUCCUGGUCAGAUUUCACCAUGAAUCCAGCUCCAUAUGCCAUCCCCACACCAUACCCCACGCCCCACACACACCUCACUUCCACCCAGGGCUUUCACAGUCCCACGUGACACGAGCUUCCCUGCAUGUCGCACCUGUUGAUUUCACUGCCUGGAGUGCACUUCCCCAGCCUCUCAGCCCCUCCAUUUCACUUCUCAAACUCCAGCCUGGGCACCACCUCUCCUGCAAAGCCUUUUCCAACCACUCCAGCGAAGGCGGCUCCCCACUCCUUCCUUUGUGCUCUGGGGCCCUUCUUCCUUGGUGGCUGCUGCUGCGUGUGGUGCCCACCACGUACCAUCAUUGCCCCCCACAGGCCAGUCCACAGGGCCUAGAGAACAGAGCUGGGUCUCAUGCUGCUGUGCAUUCUCUGGACACGGCCCAGUGCCUCCAGAGUAUGCAGUCUGCACCUGUGCCGUUGAUUUGUUGAACUGAUGAUGUAACCUUCUUCGGGAAGUCACUUCCCCAAACCUGCAAGACUCUUCCAUCAAGGACCACCUGUGAAAAACACGUUAGGAGACUGAAAAGUGAUUUCUUUUGUUUGUUUGUUUGUUUGGGGGUUUUUUUUUGGCAAGGGGGAGUGGGGGCAGUUCUGGUCAUCUCAAAGUCAUUGGUGACCUUAAGAAAAUAAUAUUGAAAUGAGAUGUGAAAGGCCUAGAAGAUGAAAAAAAAAAUGACAAGGCAACUCCACGGAGAAAUCUGACUAUGAAGGGCAGCAAUGAAUAGGCCAAUAGGUGAGGGAUGUAAGGCUGAAGGAGGGUUUUCGUUUCUUGUUUAUGCAGUUUUUGCUACUGUUUAGAGGACUGAGACCUUUGCCUGUUUAAGGGCUGAAGGGAAUGGGUAGAGAGGAAGAAAAGGCAAAAGGAAUCACUGAUAGCUUAAGGUUUUGGAGAUUUAGCAAUGGCCUCCCUUCAUAAUGAAAUUGCUUAAAUGAGUUGUCUAUAACUGUCUUGUUUCUCUCUUCACCUAAUUCCUUCUCAUUUCACUUCAAUAUGGCUUUUAUUAAGGUCACCAAUGACUCCCAUAUUGCUGGGAACACAAAACCACUUCUCAGUACUUUAAUGUCCAGAGCAGGAUGGGAGAUCAGUGUGUUUCAGAAGAGGAGUGGCCACUCCACCGUAACGAGAAGAGAGAAGAGGAAAACCAGGACAGAUGCAGCUUGUGUUCCAGAUUUGCUGGCCGGAAGAGUCCCAGACAGAGAAGUUAAAUGAUGUCUCCAAGGACAAACAGCUGCAGAAUUACAGAGCUCAGCUUUUAAGACAGACUUCCAUCAGUCAGUUCCCUGGGAGCACUAGUUCAGCUCUGCUCAGUUAAACAUGCAUUGUAGAAACCACUGAGCGCUGGACACUGUGCUGGGCUUUGAGGUUACGCAGAUGCCAAGGAGACUGUCCUCUGGUGGGCAUUUGUCUGGUGGUGAGUCACAGUCAGCCAACGAUGUCUCCAGAUUGUGGGAUGCACAGGGUUCCCCCAGAAGAGGCUGCCUAAACAGAGUCGCAAAAAUGGGAGUUAGUUGAACAAAGGCAGACUAAAUAAAACAAGGCAUUUAUCUGUACAAUCUGGGAGUGAAAUAUAAACAUUGCCCAAGCCAAAGUUUCCAGAUUUUCUUUGGCAGAGACACUAAAGCCUAACGUGUGAAACGGAUAAAAUGUGCAGCUUCCCUAGGGGAGGUAAGAGGCAGAAACCUCUGUCUUCCCCCUUCUGCCUCCUUCUCUGCAUUGACAAAGGACAAGGUUGCCCUCGGGGUCCUGCGAGGGUAGAGGGGACUGACCAGAGGGGGGCACAGGGACGUCUGUGUGGCUAGCAAUGACAUGUUUCACUGUCAGGGAGCUGGUUACACAGGUGGUUCAAGUUUAUAAAAUUCACCAAGCUGAACCUUGUGGGCAUUACGCUAAGUGAAAUUUGUCCAUCGCAGCAGGACCGAAUUUGUAUAAUUCUAUUACAUGAGGUGUCCCGAGUAGUCAAAUCCAUAGAGACAGAAGGCACAAUGGGGAUUGCCAGGGCCUGGGCCACGGGGCAAGGGAGUGGGGAAACCGUGUUUAAUGGGAAUGAAGCUUCAGCCUGGGAAAAUGAAAAUGUUCUGAGAUGGAUGGUGGUGGUUGCACAGCAAUGUGAAUGUACUUGAUACCACUGAACUGUGCCCCCAAAAUGAUUAAAAUAAUAAAUUUUGUGUUAUGUAUAAUUUAUCACAAUUAAAAAAAUUAACCUGCGUA
Macaca mulatta (Rhesus monkey) is the source of this 2804-nucleotide non-coding RNA. The record is from RefSeq and is a predicted model, not a curated record. NCBI's taxonomy places the organism in Eukaryota, Metazoa, Chordata, Mammalia, Primates, Cercopithecidae.